Molecule: unclassified non-coding RNA, 230 nt
Filed under: Hevea brasiliensis (rubber tree)
Lineage: Eukaryota; Viridiplantae; Streptophyta; Magnoliopsida; Malpighiales; Euphorbiaceae
Source: RNAcentral
GGGCCCCACCAAUGAACAAGCUAUUUGUGAUUGAUGAUGGUUUCUCUGUAUUUGCAGCAUCAGAGAUCAAUGAUAUUCUAUCAAGGAUGUGCUCUAGUCUGACCUUCAACUCAUAAGCAUCAACAACACAGUUAUUAUCACUGCCCUCAAAAUAUCCUGUAUUGAAAUUGUUCUCCUGACACAGUUUGAUGACAUCAUUUCUCAGCAUUUCAUUCCAUUGCUCCAGUUCU